GAUGAACGCUGGCGGUAUGCUUAACACAUGCAAGUCGAACGGACUCUUCGGAGUUAGUGGCGGACGGGUGAGUAACGCGUGAGAAUCUGGCUUUGGGUUCGGGACAACCACUGGAAACGGUGGCUAAUACCGGAUGUGCCGAGAGGUAAAAGAGAAAUUGCCUGCAGAUGAGCUCGGGUCUGAUUAGCUAGUUGGUGAGGUAAAGGCUCACCAAGGCAGCGAUCAGUAGCUGGUGUGAGAGGAUGACCAGCCACACUGGGACUGAGACACGGCCCAGACUCAUACGGGAGGCAGGAGUGGGGAAUUUUCCGCAAUGGGCGAAAGCCUGACGGAGAAAUACCGCGUGAGGGAAGAAGGCUCUUGGGGUGUAAAGCUUUUUUCUUAGGGAAGAACAAAAUGACGGUACCUAAGGAAGCAGCAUCGGCUAACUACGUG
Molecule: ribosomal RNA, 435 nt
Filed under: uncultured bacterium
Lineage: Bacteria
Description: partial 16S ribosomal RNA
Rfam family: Bacterial small subunit ribosomal RNA
Source: RNAcentral